GACGAACGCUGGCGGCGUGCUUAACACAUGCAAGUCGAACGGAAAGGCCCUGCUUUUGUGGGGUGCUCGAUUGGCGAACGGGUGAGUAACACGUGAGUAACCUGCCCUUGACUUUGGGAUAACUUCAGGAAACUGGGGCUAAUACCGGAUAGGAGCUCCUGCUGCAUGGUGGGGGUUGGAAAGUUUCGGCGGUUGGGGAUGGACUCGCGGCUUAUCAGCUUGUUGGUGGGGUAGUGGCUUACCAAGGCUUUGACGGGUAGCCGGCCUGAGAGGGUGACCGGCCACAUUGGGACUGAGAUACGGACCAGAGUCCGACGGGAGGCAGCGGUGGGGAAUAUUGCACAAUGAGCGGAAGCCUGAUGCAGAAACGCCGCGUGCGGGAUGACGGCCUUCUGGUUGUAAACCGCUUUCGCCUGUGACGAAGCGUGAGUGACGGUAAUGGGUAAAGAAGCACCGGCUAACUACGUG
RNAcentral lists this ribosomal RNA (468 nucleotides) under uncultured bacterium. RNAcentral describes it as "partial 16S ribosomal RNA". It matches the Rfam family "Bacterial small subunit ribosomal RNA", at positions 28 to 507 of the family's 1533-position model. The record is from RNAcentral.